RNAcentral lists this ribosomal RNA (919 nucleotides) under uncultured bacterium. RNAcentral describes it as "bacterial SSU rRNA". It matches the Rfam family "Bacterial small subunit ribosomal RNA", at positions 8 to 963 of the family's 1533-position model. The record is from RNAcentral.
AGAGUUUGAUCCUGGCUCAGGGUGAACGCUGGCGGUAUGCCUAAGACAUGCAAGUCGCACGGACCGGUUUCGGCUGGUCAGUGGCGGACGGGUGAGUAACACGUGGGAGACGUGCCCUCAAGUGGGGGAAAACCAGGGGAAACCCUGGCUAAUCCCCCAUGUGAACACUCGUUUGGGCGGGUGUUUAAAGCUUCGGCGCUUGAGGAUCGGCCCGCGGUGCAUCAGGUAGUUGGUGGGGUAAUGGCCCACCAAGCCGACGACGCAUAGCUGGUCUGAGAGGACGACCAGCCACAGGAGCACUGAGACACGGGCUCCACUCCUACGGGAGGCAGCAGUUAGGAAUCUUCGGCAAUGGGCGAAAGCCUGACCGAGCGAUACCGCUUGAAGGAUGAAGCCCUUCGGGGUGUAAACUUCUGAACUCGGGACGAUGAUGACGGUACCGAGGUAAUAGCACCGGCUAACUCCGUGCCAGCAGCCGCGGUAAUACGGAGGGUGCGAGCGUUACCCGGAUUUACUGGGCGUAAAGGGCGUGUAGGCGGUCUUUCAAGUCCGAUGCUAAAGACUGGGGCUCAACCCCAGGGGUGCGUUGGAUACUGUGAGGCUAGACGGUCGGAGGGGGUAGCGGAAUUUCCGGAGUAGCGGUGAAAUGCGCAGAUACCGGAAGGAACGCCAAUAGCGAACGCAGCUACCUGGACGACUUGUGACGCUGAGGCGCGAAAGCGUGGGGAGCAAACCGGAUUAGAUACCCGGGUAGUCCACGCCCUAAACCAUGAGUGCUGGGUGUCCGGCUUCUGCUGGGUGCCGUAGCUAACGCGCUAAGCACUCCGCCUGGGAAGUACGCACGCAAGUGUGAAACUCAAAGGAAUUGACGGGGGCCCGCACAAGCGGUGGAGCAUGUGGUUUAAUUCGAAGCGACGCG